Molecule: ribosomal RNA, 252 nt
Filed under: uncultured bacterium
Lineage: Bacteria
Description: partial 16S ribosomal RNA
Rfam family: Bacterial small subunit ribosomal RNA
Source: RNAcentral
UACAGAGGGUGCGAGCGUUAAUCGGAAUUACUGGGCGUAAAGCGCAUGUAGGUGGCGACGUAAGUCGGGCGUGAAAGCCCCGGGCUCAACCUGGGAAUUGCAUUCGAGACUGCAUUGCUGGAGUACGGAAGAGGAGGCGGAAUUCCCGGUGUAGCGGUGAAAUGCGUAGAUAUCGGGAGGAACAUCAGUGGCGAAGGCGGCCCUCUGGUCCAGUACUGACACUCAAGUGCGAAAGCGUGGGGAGCAAACAGG